AACGCACAUUGCGCCCCUUGGUAUUCCAUGGGGCAUGCCUGUUCGAGCGUCAUUUUGUACCCUCAAGCUUUGCUUGGUGAUGGGUGUUUGUUCCGCUGCAACGCGUGAACUCGCCUCAAAUCAAUUGGCAGCCGGCAAUCUGGUGUUUGAGCGCAGCACAUUUUGCGCUCUUCGCUGUGUAUUGCGGGCGUCCAUGAAGCCUAUAUUUUCACGCUUGACCUCGGAUCAGGUAGGGAUACCCGCUGAACUUAA
RNAcentral lists this unclassified non-coding RNA (252 nucleotides) under uncultured Pyrenochaeta. RNAcentral's name for it is "sequence contains ITS2". The record is from RNAcentral. Lineage: Eukaryota; Fungi; Ascomycota; Dothideomycetes; Pleosporales; Pleosporaceae.